Folsomia candida is the source of this 818-nucleotide long non-coding RNA. RefSeq lists it as uncharacterized. The transcript is spliced from 2 exons. NCBI's taxonomy places the organism in Eukaryota, Metazoa, Arthropoda, Collembola, Entomobryomorpha, Isotomidae. The record is from RefSeq and is a predicted model, not a curated record.
CUGAUUGAAUUUUAACUGCUGAUUAACAAGGAAGCCAAAUGAUCUAGAGAAGUAAACUUCAAAUUGAAUCCAGAUCUAUGCAAAGAACGAAGUGAACCCUGUGACUCAUUUUUCGAUUCGAUUAAUGUGUGAGUGUACGAACAGUAUUUUUAUAUCCAGUGGCAUUAAACAAUGAACGCAUACAUUCAUUUAUAUAUAUCGGAGAAAUACACAUUAAUUCAUGCUUGAUUGCAACAUCGAACAUAUGUAGAUAUCUUCCUGUGCUGGGAAAAGCCUACGUCGCAGCACUUAUAACUUCAAUACAGUUCUAAUCAUCAAGGCGUUACCAAGGAGUUGUGAUAAGAUUUAAAAUAAUUUGAAUCUACUGGAUUACCUUUGGUUUAAAAUCUUGAGUGGUCCCUUAUACAUACGUAUAAAGAUGGAGAAUUGCGAACUCCUUCGUGACGGAAUAAUUGGGUGGAUGCUGGUCAUAUGUUGGACAUUAAACUUGUUAAUCGUGUCCUUAUUUGUCUUUCCGACAUUAAUUGCGACAACCUGGAUGAAUGGGAAGGUCAGGAAUCCGGCCGGCUUAAUAUUUGGCAACCUGGCAUUUCCCUUCCGUAAAUUGUGCACUUACCAUUGGGGAAAAAAUGUGAGACGCAACAUGGUUACUAGUAAUUUAGUAAUUGAUCAACAAUAGUAAAUAUAUAUUGGCAAAUUAAGACGACUAAAAUAUGUACAUUGUCAUCGAUCAUGUACAUAAAUAUUUAGAUUUACAUACGUACAUACUUGUUAAUUUUCCGAGAUUUGAGGCUAAUAAAAGUCAAAUUAGUUAGCAU